UGCGUAGGUGGCCAUGUAAGCGCGGGGUGAAAAGCAAUAGCUUAACUAUUGUAAGCCUUGCGAACUGUGUGGCUUGAGUGCAGGAGAGGAAAGUGGAAUUCCUAGUGUAGCGGUGAAAUGCGUAGAUAUUAGGAGGAACACCAGUGGCGAAGGCGACUUUCUGGACUGUAACUGACACUGAGGCACGAAAGCGUGGGGAGCAAACA
Molecule: ribosomal RNA, 206 nt
Filed under: uncultured Eubacteriales bacterium
Lineage: Bacteria; Bacillati; Bacillota; Clostridia; Eubacteriales
Description: uncultured Clostridiales bacterium partial 16S ribosomal RNA
Rfam family: Bacterial small subunit ribosomal RNA
Source: RNAcentral